GGCGGCGCGCCUAACACAUGCAAGUCGAACGAGGGAUGAGGAGCUUGCUCUUCAAAUCGAGUGGCGAACGGGUGAGUAACGCGUGAGGAACCUGCCUCAAAGAGGGGGACAACAGUUGGAAACGACUGCUAAUACCGCAUAAGCCCACGGCUCGGCAUCGAGCAGAGGGAAAAGGAGCAAUCCGCUUUGAGAUGGCCUCGCGUCCGAUUAGCUAGUUGGUGAGGUAACGGCCCACCAAGGCGACGAUCGGUAGCCGGACUGAGAGGUUGAACGGCCACAUUGGGACUGAGACACGGCCCAGACUCCUACGGGAGGCAGCAGUGGGGAAUAUUGCACAAUGGGGGAAACCCUGAUGCAGCGACGCCGCGUGGAGGAAGAAGGUCUUCGGAUUGUAAACUCCUGUUGUUGAGGAAGAUAAUGACGGUACUCAACAAGGAAGUGACGGCUAACUACGUGCCAGCAGCCGCGGUAAACGUAGGUCACAAGCGUUGUCCGGAAUUACUGGGUGUAAAGGGAGCGCAGGCGGGAGAACAAGUUGGAAGUGAAAUCCAUGGGCUCAACCCAUGAACUGCUUUCAAAACUGUUUUUCUUGAGUAGUGCAGAGGUAGGCGGAAUUCCCGGUGUAGCGGUGGAAUGCGUAGAUAUCGGGAGGAACACCAGUGGCGGAGGCGGCCUACUGGGCACCAACUGACGCUGAGGCUCGAAAGUGUGGGUAGCAAACAGGAUUAGAUACCCUGGUAGUCCACACCGUAAACGAUGAUUACUAGGUGUUGGAGGAUUGACCCCUUCAGUGCCGCAGUUAACACAAUAAGUAAUCCACCUGGGGAGUACGACCACAAGGUUGCAACUCAAAGGAAUUGACGG
This 864-nucleotide ribosomal RNA is filed under the name uncultured bacterium. RNAcentral describes it as "bacterial SSU rRNA". It matches the Rfam family "Bacterial small subunit ribosomal RNA", at positions 38 to 916 of the family's 1533-position model. The record is from RNAcentral.